GGGAAUCCGCCCUUCGGUUGGGAAUAACUGAGAGAAAUUUCAGCUAAUACCUUAUAAUGUCUUCGGACCAAAGAUUUAUCGCCGAGGGAUGAGCCCGCGUAGGAUUAGCUAGUUGGUGGGGUAAUGGCCUACCAAGGCGACGAUCCUUAGCUGGUCUGAGAGGAUGAUCAGCCACACUGGGACUGAGACACGGCCCAGACUCCUACGGGAGGCAGCAGUGGGGAAUAUUGGACAAUGGGCGAAAGCCUGAUCCAGCAAUGCCGCGUGAGUGAUGAAGGCCUUAGGGUUGUAAAGCUCUUUUACCAGGGAUGAUAAUGACAGUACCUGGAGAAUAAGCUCCGGCUAACUCCGUGCCAGCAGCCGCGGUAAUACGGAGGGAGCUAGCGUUGUUCGGAAUUACUGGGCGUAAAGCGCGCGUAGGCGGCUGUUCAAGUCAGAGGUGAAAGCCCGGGGCUCAACCCCGGAACUGCCUUUGAAACUAGAUAGCUAGAAUCAUGGAGAGGUCAGUGGAAUUCCGAGU
RNAcentral lists this ribosomal RNA (520 nucleotides) under uncultured bacterium. Its description in RNAcentral is "bacterial SSU rRNA". It matches the Rfam family "Bacterial small subunit ribosomal RNA", at positions 120 to 674 of the family's 1533-position model. The record is from RNAcentral.